Electrophorus electricus (electric eel) is the source of this 217-nucleotide non-coding RNA. The record is from RefSeq and is a predicted model, not a curated record. NCBI's taxonomy places the organism in Eukaryota, Metazoa, Chordata, Actinopteri, Gymnotiformes, Gymnotidae.
CAUUGAUGAGCUUGUUUUCACGGAGCCUGCUAAAAGGAAAAGGGUUUCCCUUGUAUGGAAACACUUUGAGCAGAUCUCUCCAAAUAAGCCACUGGGAUACAACAACAACACCUCAUCUAUGUUAUUGUACUUGUCAUGUAUAAUGAGGGGGAUAGAGUUGGAUCCAGCCAAGACCGCAAAGGCCAUGGUUGAGACCAAAUAUCAACAAGAGAAAGAG